UCUGGGACAAGCCCUGGAAACGGGGUCUAAUACCGGAUAACACUCCUGCCCGCAUGUGUGGGGGUUGAAAGCUCCGGCGGUGAAGGAUGAGCCCGCGGCCUAUCAGCUUGUUGGUGAGGUGAAAGCUCACCAAGGCGACGACGGGUAGCCGGCCUGAGAGGGCGACCGGCCACACUGGGACUGAGACACGGCCCAGACUCCUACGGGAGGCAGCAGUGGGGAAUAUUGCACAAUGGGCGAAAGCCUGAUGCAGCGACGCCGCGUGAGGGAUGACGGCCUUCGGGUUGUAAACCUCUUUCAGCAGGGAAGAAGCGAAAGUGACGGUACCUGCAGAAGAAGCGCCGGCUAACUACGUGCCAGCAGCCGCGGUAAUACGUAGGGCGCAAGCGUUGUCCGGAAUUAUUGGGCGUAAAGAGCUCGUAGGCGGUCUGUCACGUCGGAUGUGAAAGCCCGGGGCUUAACCCCGGGUCUGCAUUCGAUACGGGCAGACUAGAGUGUGGUAGGGGAGAUCGGAAUUCCUGGUGUAGCGGUGAAAUGCGCAGAUAUCAGGAGGAACACCGGUGGCGAAGGCGGAUCUCUGGGCCAUUACUGACGCUGAGGAGCGAAAGCGUGGGGAGCGAACAGGAUUAGAUACCCUGGUAGUCCACGCCGUAAACGGUGGGAACUAGGUGUUGGCGACAUUCCACGUCGUCGGUGCCGCAGCUAACGCAUUAAGUUCCCCGCCUGG
Molecule: ribosomal RNA, 727 nt
Filed under: Streptomyces sp.
Lineage: Bacteria; Bacillati; Actinomycetota; Actinomycetes; Kitasatosporales; Streptomycetaceae
Description: bacterial SSU rRNA
Rfam family: Bacterial small subunit ribosomal RNA
Source: RNAcentral